CGGGGCGUAGCGCAGCCUGGUAGCGCACCGCAAUGGGGUUGCGGGGGUCGCGAGUUCGAAUCUCGCCGCCCCGACCA
This 77-nucleotide transfer RNA is filed under the name Gammaproteobacteria bacterium. Its description in RNAcentral is "tRNA-Pro". It matches the Rfam family "tRNA". From Rfam's summary of the family: Transfer RNA (tRNA) molecules are approximately 80 nucleotides in length. Their secondary structure includes four short double-helical elements and three loops (D, anti-codon, and T loops). Lineage: Bacteria; Pseudomonadati; Pseudomonadota; Gammaproteobacteria. The record is from RNAcentral.